RNAcentral lists this ribosomal RNA (461 nucleotides) under uncultured bacterium. Its description in RNAcentral is "partial 16S ribosomal RNA". It matches the Rfam family "Bacterial small subunit ribosomal RNA", at positions 338 to 795 of the family's 1533-position model. The record is from RNAcentral.
CCUACGGGUGGCAGCAGUGAGGAAUAUUGGUCAAUGGGCUUACGCCUGAACCAGCCAAGUCGCGUGAGGGAAGACUGCCCUAUGGGUUGUAAACCUCUUUUGUCAGAGAGCAACGCCGGCUACGUGUAGCCGGACGGAGAGGACCUGAAGAAAAAGCAGCGGCUAACUCCGGGCCAGCAGCCGCGGUAAUACGUAGGGGGCAAGCGUUAUCCGGAUUUAAUGGGUGUAACGGGAACGUAGACGGCAGCGCAAGUCGGAAGUGAAAUGCCGGGGCUUAACCCCGGAACUGCUUUGGAAACUGUGCAGCUAGAGUGCAGGAGAGGUAAGUGGAAUUCCUUGUGUAGCGGUGAAAUGCGUAGAUAUUAGGAGGACCCCCAGUGGCGACGGCGGCUUACUGGACUGUAACUGACGUUGAGGCUCGAAAGCGUGGGGAGCAAACAGGAUUAGAUACCCCUGUAGUC